GGCAUUGCCUCAGUAACGGCGAGUGAAGCGGCAACAGCUCAAAUUUGAAAUCUGGCCCCCUCGGGGGGCCCGAGUUGUAAUUUGCAGAUUGUGCUUUUGGCGAGGCUGCCUUCCGAGUUCCCUGGAACGGGACGCCACAGAGGGUGAGAGCCCCGUCUGGUCGGCCGCCGAGCCUCUGUAAAGCACCUUCGACGAGUCGAGUAGUUUGGGAAUGCUGCUCAAAAUGGGAGGUAUAUGUCUUCUAAAGCUAAAUACCGGCCAGAGACCGAUAGCGCACAAGUAGAGUGAUCGAAAGAUGAAAAGCACCUUGAAAAGGGGGUUAAACAGUACGUGAAAUUGUUGAAAGGGAAGCGCUCGCGACCAGACUUGGGCCCGGCGGAUCACCCAGCGUUCUCGCUGGGGCACUCCGCCUCGUCCCAGGCCAGCAUCGGUUCGUGCCGGGGGACAAAGGCGGCGGGAACGUGGCUCCCCCGGGAGUGUUAUAGCCCGCCGCGCAAUGCCCUGGGGCGGACCGAGGAUUCGCGCAUCUGCAUGGAUGCUGGCGUAAUGGUCACCAGCGACCCGUCUUGAAACACGGACCAAGGAGUCGUCUUCGUAUGCGAGUGUUCGGGUGUCAAACCCCC
RNAcentral lists this ribosomal RNA (623 nucleotides) under Aschersonia andropogonis. RNAcentral describes it as "eukaryotic LSU rRNA". It matches the Rfam family "Eukaryotic large subunit ribosomal RNA", at positions 71 to 711 of the family's 3401-position model. The record is from RNAcentral. Lineage: Eukaryota; Fungi; Ascomycota; Sordariomycetes; Hypocreales; Clavicipitaceae.